This 259-nucleotide long non-coding RNA is filed under the name Elaeis guineensis (African oil palm). Its description in RNAcentral is "long non-coding RNA (EGUI_LNC034515)". The record is from RNAcentral. Lineage: Eukaryota; Viridiplantae; Streptophyta; Magnoliopsida; Arecales; Arecaceae.
GUUCUGCGACUUACUCUGCUCCCUUCUCGUCCGGUUGUUGACAUCCCUGAUUUCUUGCAUCAAGAGAGAAAUCAGGGAGCUUCCCAAACCUCAUUCUUGCUAUUGUUCUAAGCAACAAAAAAUAAAAUGCUUUCCCAGGUGGCCUCCAAAUUUUCAGGUUCUCCUUAAUUCCAUCAUCCGGUGCAGGUGGUUCUUGUGAUUCUAUAUUUUUUCGUUUCUAUGCAUUAUAAUUCUUAAAACAAAAUAACCAAACCCACAC